AACGAACGCUGGCGGCAUGCCUAACACAUGCAAGUCGAACGAAGGCUUCGGGCUUAGUGGCGCACGGGUGCGUAACGAGUGGGAAUCUGCCCUUUGGUUCGGAACAACAGCUGGAAACGGCUGCUAAUACCGGUUGAUGACGAAAGGCCAAAGAUCUAUCGCCAGAGGAUGAGCCCGCGUUGGAUUAGGUGGUUGGUGGGGUAAAGGCCUACCAAGCCGACGAUCCAUAGCUGGUCUGAGAGGAUGCUCAGCCACACUGGGACUGAGACACGGCCCAGACUCCUACGGGGGGCAGCAGUGGGGAAUAUUAGACGAUGGGCGCAAGCCUGAUCCAGCAAUGCCGCGUGAGUGAUGAAGGCCCUAGGGUUGUAAAUCUCUUUUACCCGGGAAGAUAAUGACUGUACCGGGAGAAUAAGCCCCGGCUAACUACGUG
Molecule: ribosomal RNA, 433 nt
Filed under: uncultured bacterium
Lineage: Bacteria
Description: partial 16S ribosomal RNA
Rfam family: Bacterial small subunit ribosomal RNA
Source: RNAcentral